GACGAACGCUGGCGGCGUGCUUAACACAUGCAAGUCGAACGGAAAGGCCCUGCUUUUGUGGGGUGCUCGAGUGGCGAACGGGUGAGUAACACGUGAGUAACCUGCCCUUGACUUUGGGAUAACUUCAGGAAACUGGGGCUAAUACCGGAUAGGAGCUCCUGCUGCAUGGUGGGGGUUGGAAAGUUUCGGCGGGUGGGGAUGGACUCGCGGCUUAUCAGCUUGUUGGUGGGGUAGUGGCUUACCAAGGCUUUGACGGGUAGCCGGCCUGAGAGGGUGACCGGCCACAUUGGGACUAAGAUACGGCCCAGACUCCUACGGGAGGCAGCAGUGGGGAAUCUUGCACAAUGGGCGGAAGCCUGAUGCAGCAACGCCGCGUGCGGGAUGACGGCCUUCGGGUUGUAAACCGCUUUCGCCUGUGACGAAGCGUGAGUGACGGUAAUGGGUAAAGAAGCACCGGCUAACUACGUG
Molecule: ribosomal RNA, 468 nt
Filed under: uncultured bacterium
Lineage: Bacteria
Description: partial 16S ribosomal RNA
Rfam family: Bacterial small subunit ribosomal RNA
Source: RNAcentral